RNAcentral lists this ribosomal RNA (490 nucleotides) under uncultured bacterium. RNAcentral describes it as "partial 16S ribosomal RNA". It matches the Rfam family "Bacterial small subunit ribosomal RNA", at positions 30 to 507 of the family's 1533-position model. The record is from RNAcentral.
AUUGAACGCUGGCGGCAUGCUUUACACAUGCAAGUCGAACGGCAGCACGAAAGAGCUUGCUCUUUUGGUUGCGAGUGGCGAACGGGUGAGUAAUGCAUCGGAACGUACCGAGUCAUGGGGGAUAACUGUCCGAAAGGAUAGCUAAUACCGCAUACGCUUUGAGAAGCAAAGUGGGGGCUCUUCGGACCUCACGCUAUUCGAGCGGCCGAUGUCUGAUUAGCUAGUUGGCGGGGUAAAGGCCUACCAAGGCGACGAUCAGUAGCGGGUCUGAGAGGAUGAUCGGCCACACUGGGACUGAGACACGGCCCAGACUCCUACGGGAGGCAGCAGUGGGGAAUUUUGGACAAUGGGCGAAAGCCUGAUGCAGCAAUGCCGCGUGUGUGAAGAAGGCCUUCGGGUUGUAAAGGACUGUUGUUAGGGAAGAAAAGGAUAGUGUUAAUACCAGUAACUGCUGACGGUACCUAAAGAAUAAGCACCGGCUAACUACGUG